GCGAGAGCGAUUGAGGGCUGAAUUGUCUCGUCCAGUUUAGAAUACCCAAUGACCUAGCAAUCUCGGGAUCGUGCAAUCUCACAGCUAAUAAUCCAGCUAUCUGACAUCCUUCUAUAUAAACAACCAAAGCCCCAAGGACCCAGGUAAGUUCAAUCGAAUCCCUCUCAGAGAACCCAUUGCUGCUCCUUUGUUCUUUGCUUUUCUGACUUGAGCGUAGGAGGGUCCUCAUCGAAGCCACAAUCUUCAGUUUGGAGACCUAUUUUGCAAGUCGCUCUAGUACCAGUGUCC
This 288-nucleotide long non-coding RNA is filed under the name Elaeis guineensis (African oil palm). RNAcentral describes it as "long non-coding RNA (EGUI_LNC039844)". Lineage: Eukaryota; Viridiplantae; Streptophyta; Magnoliopsida; Arecales; Arecaceae. The record is from RNAcentral.